This 69-nucleotide transfer RNA is filed under the name Ictidomys tridecemlineatus (thirteen-lined ground squirrel). RNAcentral's name for it is "Spermophilus tridecemlineatus (thirteen-lined ground squirrel) tRNA". It matches the Rfam family "tRNA". Rfam says of the family: Transfer RNA (tRNA) molecules are approximately 80 nucleotides in length. Their secondary structure includes four short double-helical elements and three loops (D, anti-codon, and T loops). The record is from Rfam by way of RNAcentral. Lineage: Eukaryota; Metazoa; Chordata; Mammalia; Rodentia; Sciuridae. RNAcentral also lists the same sequence under 1 other name.
GGGAAUGUAGCUCAGUGGUAGAGCAGUUGCAUAGCAUUUGCAAAGCCCUGGGUUCAAUCCCCAGCCCCA